GAUGAACGCUGGCGGCGUGCCUAAUACAUGCAAGUCGAGCGAACGGACGAGAAGCUUGCUUUUCUGAUGUUAGCGGCGGACGGGUGAGUAACACGUGGAUAACCUACCUAUAAGACUGGGAUAACUUCGGGAAACCGGAGCUAAUACCGGAUAAUAUUUUGAACCGCAUGGUUCAAAAGUGAAAGACGGUCUUGCUGUCACUUAUAGAUGGAUCCGCGCUGCAUUAGCUAGUUGGUAAGGUAACGGCUUACCAAGGCAACGAUGCAUAGCCGACCUGAGAGGGUGAACGGCCAAACUGGAAACGAGACAAGGGUCAGAAUCCUACGGGAGGCAGGAGGAGGGAAUCCUUCGCAAAGGGCGAAAGGCUGAAGGAGCAACGGCGCGUGAGUGAUGAAGGUCCUCGGAUCGUAAAAAUCUGUUAUUAGGGAAGAACAUAUGUGUAAGUAACUGCGCACAUCUUGACGGUACCUAAUCAGAAAGCCACGGCUAACUACGU
This 496-nucleotide ribosomal RNA is filed under the name uncultured bacterium. RNAcentral describes it as "partial 16S ribosomal RNA". It matches the Rfam family "Bacterial small subunit ribosomal RNA", at positions 28 to 506 of the family's 1533-position model. The record is from RNAcentral.